GAUAUUUAUCUGGUUUCAUCUAGUUCGUUAAUAUUAUGUAAUCAAUUAACUAGUGAAGUAUUUUCUACUUAGGUGAGAAUUCCUUUAUUCGAGGUUAUAAUGGCAUAUUUGUGGUACACCACUACACAUCAGACCAUGUCAAGUUGACCCAUCUCUGUUGAGUAUAUUAUUCGAGAAACGAUGAUAAACCGAGUUACAAUUUACAAAAAGUAACGAUUCACACUUAACCCUGCACAAUGCCGAUAUUUACUAUGUAGAGUGCGGACGAUAAUAAUAAAGCUAACAUCUUUAUCCGUUAAAAAAGCCAUGAAUGCCCGGCAGCGGACGGGGAUGCUUGCUGCCAGAGCUAGCAGGAAAGAGCAGCGGCCCUGACAGACGAAAGAGCAUACACACAUGCAGGGAGCGUAAUUCGAUAAUCGGCGUGCUCUUGAACGCGCCCGCGCCGGCAGACCAUCUGUCAUGUUGACUGACUUUGUCAAUGAAGAGUGUAAUAGCUGUUUAUGAGGAUACUCGGUGCCGCAUUGCGAUGUAUUGCGUCGUUUGUGCAGGUGCGAGUAUGAUUGCGGAGAUUUAUCGUGAUGUCCAUGUUUGUUGCAUGGUUGCAUAGUGUGGGUUUUGGCAAGUAAUUGAGGAAGAUGUUAUAAUUUUAUUAAUUUCCAGAACUAAUAGCUUUGGUCUGCUAUCCCUGACGACUAAACUCGACACUUAACUUGUUUGUGUCAAAUAAGUAAGGUUAUGCAUGACAUACACUUGAAAAUCUCUUGUCGUUUUUUUUGUUCAUGGACAGUGGCGAAAGAAGAUGGCUUACUAUCAAAUAAUCUGUUUAGCAGCUACAAUCACACGUUGGUGCGACAAUUUUCCAUCAAGUAGCAGGAUGUCAUGCUUCCCACGUUCCUAGUUCCUCCAGGAAGUUGUUUCUUGACGUACAACGUCUCAAGCUCAGGAAUCUUGAAAAACACUGAAUUAUUUAGCUGACAUUAGACAUGAGCACAUUGGUUAAAAGGAUACUGAAAUCAUUUGAACUUGUAUUUAUUUAUAUCGGCGUUACAUAAAUAUAUUAUAAUUA
Manduca sexta (tobacco hornworm) is the source of this 1066-nucleotide long non-coding RNA. RefSeq lists it as uncharacterized. The transcript has 2 exons. The record is from RefSeq and is a predicted model, not a curated record. NCBI's taxonomy places the organism in Eukaryota, Metazoa, Arthropoda, Insecta, Lepidoptera, Sphingidae.